AUGCCGUCUUUGAACUUGGUGGAGACGCAGAAGCAGAAGGAGAACGGUGGCGCCGUGAAGACCUUGACGACUGCUGCCAUGACCACAACUAUGAUGAUUGUGUUGGUAAUAAAGAUACCAAUUAUAUACAAAUCCCCCAGCUUCGAAAACAUUAGAUUAUCCAACUUAUUAUUCAAAUUCUUGAUUCAAGAUAAAUGGAAAUUUCCUAUAUACAAUGAGCUUAUUAUUUAUUUUUUAGAAAAGGAGGAUGACCUCCGGCCUCUGCAUCUGGGAGAUGUAUACGGCCACUUUAUUGAUUAUUCUCGAGGACCUUACAAAGUAUUACAACAAUAUGUCUGA
RNAcentral lists this ribosomal RNA (339 nucleotides) under Triticum aestivum (bread wheat). Its description in RNAcentral is "partial small subunit ribosomal RNA". Lineage: Eukaryota; Viridiplantae; Streptophyta; Magnoliopsida; Poales; Poaceae. The record is from RNAcentral.